This 379-nucleotide ribosomal RNA is filed under the name uncultured eukaryote. RNAcentral's name for it is "partial 18S ribosomal RNA". It matches the Rfam family "Eukaryotic small subunit ribosomal RNA", at positions 592 to 975 of the family's 1831-position model. The record is from RNAcentral.
CAAUAGCGUAUAUUAAAGUUGUUGCAGUUAAAAAGCUCGUAGUUGGAUUUCUGCUGAGAACGACCGGUCCGCCCUUUGGGUGUGUAUCUGGCUCUUUCUUGGCAUCUUCUUGGUGAACGUUGCUGCACUUGACUGUGUGGAGCGCUACCCAGGACUUUUACUUUGAGGAAAUUAGAGUGUUUCAAGCAGGCAUACGCCUUGAAUACAUUAGCAUGGAAUAAUAAGAUAGGACCUCGGUUCUAUUUUGUUGGUUUCUAGAGCUGAGGUAAUGAUUAAUAGGGAUAGUUGGGGGCAUUCGUAUUUAACUGUCAGAGGUGAAAUUCUUGGAUUAGUUGAAGACGAUCUACUGCGAAAGCAUUUGCCAGGGAUGUUUUCAUUG